This 219-nucleotide ribosomal RNA is filed under the name uncultured bacterium. RNAcentral describes it as "partial 16S ribosomal RNA". It matches the Rfam family "Bacterial small subunit ribosomal RNA", at positions 136 to 354 of the family's 1533-position model. The record is from RNAcentral.
GGACGGGAACUACCGCCGAAAGGCGGGCUAAACCCGCGUAUAUGCCACCGGGGCAUCCCGGAGGCAGGAAAGGCUUCGGCCGGACAGGGAUGGGCAUGCGGCGCAUUAGGCAGUAGGCGGGGUAACGGCCCACCUAACCGACGAUGCGUAGGGGUUCUGAGAGGAAGGUCCCCCACACUGGUACUGAGACACGGACCAGACUCCUACGGGAGGCAGCAG